CAGAACUGUGAGCUGACUACAAGUCGAGGUAGGAAAAUAACAACUGGAAUUAAUCCUAGGAAAACUCAAGAAAGGCACUUCACUACAACUAGUGGCGAGGAGGACUAAAUACUAAAACUAAGGGCACAAACUCACGGUGGGUAAGACCCAGGCAAGAAAGGCUAAUUCUAAGAUUUCGCGACUCAAAACUACAGGCUCGCAAAUUACUUAGGCUACUAUGAUACAAACUAUUAUUUCAACUACUAAGGCUUUGAAACAAUAUGAAGCAACUCUAUAACUAUCAGAAACAGAUUUCAAAACAAUUCAAAUAGCUGAUGUUCGGACUGGGCUCUAACUGGAAACCUCUGGGUGCAUAUGAUCCAAGGCAAUUGCAGCGCCUGGUAGGUUAUGGUGAGAACACCAGGGGGUCAGGCCGGCUCUGGUGAGUGAAUCGCUGACGCUGAGGAACCAAGAGAGAGAAGCGACAGAGAACCCAGGUGAGUCCAAGCAGGAACAGGUGGCUCUGGAGCUAGGACGAAGGAGGACAACCAGAGUUACAGGCACAAGAAUCAGUAGUUUCAAAACAACUGUGGUACACAAGUGAACAGUUACAGGCUGUGUCACAAUCCAGCACUGGGAGGUGAGUGGUGUCUGGUUUUAUUGCAGUGUGUGAGGCUUAAUUGGCUGCAUUCCAUCUGCUCCUGAACCGGCUGAUGAUUGUGGUGAUGUAGAACACCUGCCGCUGCAAUUACUCCAUGGAAAACCUAAAAAGGAAGAAAGGGGAGGAGAGAGAGGGGGAGAGGGUGCUAUCUGGGCCUGGCAGCUACCAACCUGACACAAAGAGCACCAGUUCAGGUUGGUAGAGAGAGAAGAGUGGCCAGGAGAGGGAGAGGAGGAAGGAGAGGAAGACCAAGAGCUGUGGUCUCUGAUGAAAUUAGGGCCACAGUGAUUGACCAUGUGGUAAAUCAUGGACUCUCUUUUAGAGAGGCUGGUUCAAGGGUGCAGCCAAUCUUGCAGCAUUCGACAGUUGCAUCAAUCAUGAGAAUUUUCCGGUAGAACAACAGUAGUUGUUUGCUUCCGCUUGAAGAGGCGACUGUUGGAUCAAGUCAUGGUCGUCAGACGUGAAGGAGAUGGCUCAGCAUUACCAAUAUAAGAGGGAUACAGGGGACUGCACUACUGUCUUCUCUGCACAAGCACCACAUUCUUCUGGAGAAAUUGAGCCCUGUCGCUAGCACCUAUGCAUGUUUUGACAUGGACUCAUCUUUCCUCGUGUUGGAGGACGACAAAGAGCAUUGUGAAGAGGAAAGUGAACAGGAUGACACCAUUUCAGAGCUUUCAGAGGAAAACAUGUAAAGUGGCUGUCUAUACAUGGCAGCGUUUAAUGUGUUAACAUAUUCACACAUGGCAAGCUACCAUGAAAAGUUAGCACAACCACGAGGAGCAAUUUGAACAGUGCUGGAAAAUGUAUUUAGACCACUUUGUGAAUAUACUCCUUUAAAAGUUCUAUACUCCAACUUGACUGUCAAAAAAUGUGUAGAUUGUCAGAAAAUGUACUUCUGUAUGAAAUGUAAAAUGAUGUUUAGUUUAGUAAAAUUUUGUAUUCCCGUAAUGUUUUAGAUUACUGGUACUGCUGUAUUUGUAUGUUUAAAAUAUUUUGGAUGAAGGAGAUUACAAGAAGAUUACAACAGUGUAAAAGUACAGAUAACCAGCAAAAUAUGUACUUCAGUAAA
Amphiprion ocellaris (clown anemonefish) is the source of this 1709-nucleotide long non-coding RNA. NCBI's taxonomy places the organism in Eukaryota, Metazoa, Chordata, Actinopteri, Pomacentridae. The record is from Ensembl.